Long non-coding RNA from Homo sapiens (human), 483 nucleotides. RefSeq lists it as uncharacterized. The record is from RefSeq and is a predicted model, not a curated record. The transcript has 4 exons. Lineage: Eukaryota; Metazoa; Chordata; Mammalia; Primates; Hominidae.
AGAGAUUAGAAGCUGGGAAAUGGAGCCCACAAGGAAAGACUGAGUCCACGGACUGGGGAGCGCCGGGUAGAAUUGGAACAUCUCCCCCAGGGCGGAAGGAGAGCAGGAACAGCCCCAGCGGAACAGCCGUAGCCGGGCCAUCGUCCUCAGACUUGCAUCUCCCUGCAAGCGCCCGGGCCUUCCUGCCUGUCAGCCUUGCACUCGCAGCUCCCUCUGCCGGCCACACUCUUCCUCCCUCCUUUCUGGUCAAGUCCCGCUCAGCUCUGGGAUUACAGACAUGAACCAGUGUGCCCAGCCCCCUCCCAUUUUCCAGGGAGCCUGCUGCCGCCCAGCCUCCCUGGAGCUUGCUGUGCUGUUCAGGAGCAGGUACCUCAUAGCCUAUGGAAUGUUCUAGAAACGAGGCUGGCAUAUGUGUGAAGUUAGCUCAGCAGAGACAACCAGCAGAGAUGGGGUUUCACCAUGUUCAUCAGGCUGCUCUCGAAC